UAGGGAAUAUUGGUUAAUGGGCGAAAGCCCGAUGCAGCAACGCCGCGUGGGCGAUGAAGGCCUUCGGGUCGUAAAGCCCUUUUUGAGGGGAUGAGGAAGGACAGUACCCUCAGAAUAAGCCUCGGCUAACUACGUGCCAGCAGCCGCGGUAAAACGUAGGAGGCGAGCGUUAUCCGGAUUUACUGGGCGUAAAGCGCGUGCAGGCGGAUUGGAGAGUUGGAUGUGAAAGCUCCCGGCUUAACUGGGAGAGGUCGUUCAAUACUUCCAGGCUUGAGUGCAGUAGAGGGAAGUGGAAUUCCGGGUGUAGUGGUGAAAUGCGUAGAUAUCCGGAGGAACACCAGUGGCGAAAGCGGCUUCCUGGACUGUAACUGACGCUCAGACGCGAAAGCUAGGGUA
Molecule: ribosomal RNA, 396 nt
Filed under: uncultured bacterium
Lineage: Bacteria
Description: bacterial SSU rRNA
Rfam family: Bacterial small subunit ribosomal RNA
Source: RNAcentral